GGGUCAGUAGGUUGGUCGUGCCACCGGUACGUACUGGUCUCACUGAUUCCUCCUUCCCGAAGAACCGUAAUGACAUUAAUUUGGUGUUGCGGGGAAACAGGACUGUUACUUUGAAAAAAUUAGAGUGUUUAAAGCAAGCUAACGCUUGAAUACAUUAGCAUGGAAUAAUGAAAUAGGACGAUCGAUCCUAUUUUGUUGGUUUCUAGGAUUGACGUA
RNAcentral lists this ribosomal RNA (216 nucleotides) under Glomeromycotina sp. Its description in RNAcentral is "partial small subunit ribosomal RNA". The stretch from base 75 to 216 matches the Rfam family "Eukaryotic small subunit ribosomal RNA", at positions 721 to 864 of the family's 1831-position model. The record is from RNAcentral. Lineage: Eukaryota; Fungi; Glomeromycota.